RNAcentral lists this ribosomal RNA (2685 nucleotides) under Klebsiella aerogenes. RNAcentral describes it as "partial 23S ribosomal RNA". It matches the Rfam family "Bacterial large subunit ribosomal RNA". Lineage: Bacteria; Pseudomonadati; Pseudomonadota; Gammaproteobacteria; Enterobacterales; Enterobacteriaceae. The record is from RNAcentral.
UGAUAUGAACCGUUACAGCCGGCGAUGUCCGAAUGGGGAAACCCAGUGCAAUUCGUUGCACUAUCGUUAACUGAAUACAUAGGUUAACGAGGCGAACCGGGGGAACUGAAACAUCUAAGUACCCCGAGGAAAAGAAAUCAACCGAGAUUCCCCCAGUAGCGGCGAGCGAACGGGGAGCAGCCCAGAGUCUGAAUCAGCUUGUGUGUUAGUGGAACGGUCUGGAAAGUCCGACGGUACAGGGUGAUAGUCCCGUACACCAAAAUGCACAGGUUGUGAACUCGAAGAGUAGGGCGGGACACGUGGUAUCCUGUCUGAAUAUGGGGGGACCAUCCUCCAAGGCUAAAUACUCCUGACUGACCGAUAGUGAACCAGUACCGUGAGGGAAAGGCGAAAAGAACCCCGGCGAGGGGAGUGAAAAAGAACCUGAAACCGUGUACGUACAAGCAGUGGGAGCACCUUCGGGUGUGACUGCGUACCUUUUGUAUAAUGGGUCAGCGACUUAUAUUCUGUAGCAAGGUUAACCGUAUAGGGGAGCCGCAGGGAAACCGAGUCUUAACUGGGCGUUAAGUUGCAGGGUAUAGACCCGAAACCCGGUGAUCUAGCCAUGGGCAGGUUGAAGGUUGGGUAACACUAACUGGAGGACCGAACCGACUAAUGUUGAAAAAUUAGCGGAUGACUUGUGGCUGGGGGUGAAAGGCCAAUCAAACCGGGAGAUAGCUGGUUCUCCCCGAAAGCUAUUUAGGUAGCGCCUCGUGAACUCAUCUUCGGGGGUAGAGCACUGUUUCGGCUAGGGGGUCAUCCCGACUUACCAACCCGAUGCAAACUACGAAUACCGAAGAAUGUUAUCACGGGAGACACACGGCGGGUGCUAACGUCCGUCGUGAAGAGGGAAACAACCCAGACCGCCAGCUAAGGUCCCAAAGUCACAGUUAAGUGGGAAACGAUGUGGGAAGGCACAGACAGCCAGGAUGUUGGCUUAGAAGCAGCCAUCAUUUAAAGAAAGCGUAAUAGCUCACUGGUCGAGUCGGCCUGCGCGGAAGAUGUAACGGGGCUAAACUGUGCACCGAAGCUGCGGCAGCGACACUAUGUGUUGUUGGGUAGGGGAGCGUUCUGUAAGCCUGCGAAGGUGGCCUGUGAGGGUUGCUGGAGGUAUCAGAAGUGCGAAUGCUGACAUAAGUAACGAUAAUGCGGGUGAAAAGCCCGCACGCCGGAAGACCAAGGGUUCCUGUCCAACGUUAAUCGGGGCAGGGUGAGUCGACCCCUAAGGCGAGGCCGAAAGGCGUAGUCGAUGGGAAACAGGUUAAUAUUCCUGUACUUGGUGUUACUGCGAAGGGGGGACGGAGAAGGCUAUGUUAGCCGGGCGACGGUUGUCCCGGUUUAAGCAUGUAGGCGGAGGUUCCAGGUAAAUCCGGUACCUUUUAACGCUGAGGUGUGAUGACGAGGCACUACGGUGCUGAAGUAACAAAUGCCCUGCUUCCAGGAAAAGCCUCUAAGCAUCAGGUAACAUUAAAUCGUACCCCAAACCGACACAGGUGGUCAGGUAGAGAAUACCAAGGCGCUUGAGAGAACUCGGGUGAAGGAACUAGGCAAAAUGGUGCCGUAACUUCGGGAGAAGGCACGCUGAUAUGUAGGUGAAGCCCCUGCGGGUGGAGCUGAAAUCAGUCGAAGAUACCAGCUGGCUGCAACUGUUUAUUAAAAACACAGCACUGUGCAAACACGAAAGUGGACGUAUACGGUGUGACGCCUGCCCGGUGCCGGAAGGUUAAUUGAUGGGGUUAUCCGUAAGGAGAAGCUCUUGAUCGAAGCCCCGGUAAACGGCGGCCGUAACUAUAACGGUCCUAAGGUAGCGAAAUUCCUUGUCGGGUAAGUUCCGACCUGCACGAAUGGCGUAAUGAUGGCCAGGCUGUCUCCACCCGAGACUCAGUGAAAUUGAACUCGCUGUGAAGAUGCAGUGUACCCGCGGCAAGACGGAAAGACCCCGUGAACCUUUACUAUAGCUUGACACUGAACAUUGAGCCUUGAUGUGUAGGAUAGGUGGGAGGCUUUGAAGCGUGGACGCCAGUCUGCGUGGAGCCAACCUUGAAAUACCACCCUUUAAUGUUUGAUGUUCUAACGUUGGCCCCUGACCGGGGUUGCGGACAGUGUCUGGUGGGUAGUUUGACUGGGGCGGUCUCCUCCCAAAGAGUAACGGAGGAGCACGAAGGUUAGCUAAUCCUGGUCGGACAUCAGGAGGUUAGUGCAAUGGCAUAAGCUAGCUUGACUGCGAGCGUGACGGCGCGAGCAGGUGCGAAAGCAGGUCAUAGUGAUCCGGUGGUUCUGAAUGGAAGGGCCAUCGCUCAACGGAUAAAAGGUACUCCGGGGAUAACAGGCUGAUACCGCCCAAGAGUUCAUAUCGACGGCGGUGUUUGGCACCUCGAUGUCGGCUCAUCACAUCCUGGGGCUGAAGUAGGUCCCAAGGGUAUGGCUGUUCGCCAUUUAAAGUGGUACGCGAGCUGGGUUUAGAACGUCGUGAGACAGUUCGGUCCCUAUCUGCCGUGGGCGCUGGAGAAUUGAGGGGGGCUGCUCCUAGUACGAGAGGACCGGAGUGGACGCAUCACUGGUGUUCGGGUUGUCAUGCCAAUGGCAUUGCCCGGUAGCUAAAUGCGGAAGAGAUAAGUGCUGAAAGCAUCUAAGCACGAAACUUGC